Molecule: unclassified non-coding RNA, 3705 nt
Filed under: Hevea brasiliensis (rubber tree)
Lineage: Eukaryota; Viridiplantae; Streptophyta; Magnoliopsida; Malpighiales; Euphorbiaceae
Source: RNAcentral
CUGCAGCAGCAGCUGCUGCUGCAGCUGUUGUUGCAUCUUCUAUGGUUGUUGCUGCAGCAAAGUCAAGCACUGACUCAAACCUUCCUGUAGCAGCUGCUGCCACUGCUACUGCUGCAGCUGUUGUUGCAACAACUGCAGCUGUCAGUCAUCAUUAUGAGCAGUGCACACGAAGUGAUGGAGAUGCAAAUAGUUCUGGUUAUGAGCCACGAGGUAGUGGGGACCGUGGAAGUGGUGGCCAAGAACAUGAUGCUUUUGGGGAAAAUUCAGAAGGCGGGAGAAUAUCUGAUAGAUCAACUAGCAAUGAUAGCUUGAAGCCUGAUGCAGGACUAGAUGACAUUGCAGAGUGUGAGAUUCCAUGGGAGGAAAUCACCUUGGGUGAACGCAUUGGACUUGGAUCAUAUGGAGAGGUAUAUCGUGGAGACUGGCAUGGAACUGUGGGUAUUCUCAUGUCAAUUAAACCUUUUCAUCAUUUUUGUUCUGCUUAUUUGCUAAAAUGUUGGUUAAUGGUUCAUAAUAUGCUUGUUUUGGAGAUGAUUAACCAAUAUGAAGUAUGAAGAAGGCCUGACAAUUGUGAUCAAGUUUGAAGAAUUCUCUUCUUUCUAGAGCUGCUGGCACCAGUAACUAUGCAGCCCCACCAUUAGGUGGCCCAUGUCCAUAGAGCCUAGGCUGAUCCACACCACUGCAAAAUGAAAAAUUUUGGCAGAAGUUGUUAUCAUCUGUCUGAUGAACCAAAUAUAUGAUGUUUUUACCUGAUUGACACAAAAACAUAGGAAGAACUUUCUUUCCCCAAGUACUGGGGAGCAUUUUCUUUGGGCAAUCAUUACAUUUCGCAGUUGCUUUUCAUCUUAGAAACAUAUUUUGGAAAUUAGUUUCUUUUAAAUUCUUAGAGGAUUCUCAUCAGUUUUGGGAAUGGGAAUCCUUGGAAGCAGGUUGUACUUAGGGAAAAGGUUAUGGGAUGGCUUAAAGUUCAACAGUGCAGCAGUUAUUUCCUCAUGGACGAAAUGGGUCAAUUAUAUGGACUUCUGCUCAUAAUUCUAACUAUUUCAUUCACAAUGUUUAGAGGUAUAUAUGUUGACCUUGUUGCUAUUUUGUUUUGUUUUUAAUAGGAAGUGGCUGUGAAGAGGUUCCUAGACCAAGGAAUUUCUGUUGAAUCACUUGAAGAAUUCAGAACUGAGGUUCGAAUCAUGAAAAGACUCAGACAUCCCAAUGUGGUUCUCUUCAUGGGAGCAGUAACUCGUGCCCCAAAUCUUUCCAUUGUUACAGAAUUUCUUCCUAGGGGUAGUUUGUAUAGACUAAUUCACAGGCCUAACAAUCAAUUAGAUGAGCGGAGGCGUUUGAGGAUGGCUCUUGAUGCUGCUCGAGGAAUGAAUUAUUUGCACAACUGCACUCCAGUAAUAGUACACCGUGAUUUGAAGUCCCCAAAUCUUCUAGUUGAUAAAAACUGGGUGGUGAAGGUAUCAGAUUUUGGGCUAUCACGAAUGAAGCACAGCACAUUUCUCUCUUCAAGGUCAACUGCAGGGACGGCUGAGUGGAUGGCCCCAGAAGUGCUUAGAAAUGAACCUUCAGAUGAAAAGUGUGACGUUUAUAGUUUUGGGGUUAUACUAUGGGAGCUCUGUACAAUGCAGCAACCGUGGGGUGGAAUGAACCCAAUGCAAGUUGUCGGUGCUGUUGGAUUUCAACAACGACGUCUUGACAUUCCAAAUGAUAUGGAUCCAGUCAUUGCGGAUAUUAUUCGGAAGUGCUGGCAGACGGAUCCGAAAUUGAGGCCAACAUUUGCAGAGAUCAUGGCUGCUUUGAAGCCAUUACAGAAGCCUAUAACCAGUGCACAAGUGCCAAGGCCAAGUUCAUCUACACGAGGUAGGCAUGAGAAAGGUAAGCUGUCACAAGAAGCAGAAUAGCAGGCAGGCUAACGGAGCAAGUUAGUGAUGAAGCCGAACUUCAGCUCAUUUGAUCGCCAAAAUAUGGAGGCAAAUUAUGGACUGUCUGGGACAAGAAUACACAUCGAACUACGAAAAUAUAGAGGAAAUAUAUGGACUGUUUGGUACAAGAAUACGAGAGAUAUUGAUCGAAGAUCAUAACCCAACAUAACUUCCAAUUUGAGAUGAUUGUGAUUCUUUUCCAAUGUUUCCCUUUUUUUCUUUUGUAUUCUUGUGCAGCAAUCCUCAAUGUGUAUUUGUUUGUAAAAAAAAAAAAAAUCAUUUGAAAUUGUUGUAAUCAAUGUUUUGUGUUUUUCUUGUGCUUACAGUUUGAUAGCAAGCAAUUACAAACUGAAGAAGCAGUAGGAAAAAUUUGGCUGCCAUGAAGAGCAAUGCAGUGGAUUUACCUGCAAGCUUGGCAAGAUCUAAAAAUGAUGCCAAUUUGUUGCUCAGAAGGAAUCUGAUGAAUGGAGGGGAAUAUUGCCCCAAGUAUGAAUAUUUUUCACCAUGUUUUGGAAAGUUUCCUAGAGCCCUUAGAGUCUUGAUCAUAUUUGAGUGAACUGUCACAAGUCCUCAAAAUGGAUAAAUCAUGUCUCUGGCUCCUGAGUGCCCUAAAAGUUUAGGUUUAGGGCGGGCAGCCACAAUGCAUGAAAUCAUGUUUAGGUUAUGUAGUCUUAGAUUAGAUAAAGAAAAGAAAGUCCCUGAUAGGGAUAAGGGAACCUUUCUUUUGGGUGUCUCUGUAGCCAAACAGCCUCAUAAAAAGCUUAAGAAAGUGAAAGCAAGAGACCCCAUCAUUUAAAACCCAUCACAUACAUGGAUAAGUAGGGACCAGCUACUGCUAUCUUAUUUUUUCUAUUUCACAUCCUAAUAUCAACACCAAGAAACUAUCAAUAAGCCUGAAAGAUGGCUACCUUGUGUGGCUCUACACCAUUUCUCUCUUACCCACUACCAAGAACUAACCAUAUCUCUUCAUCGUCACAAACGCCACCUCCUCCUCCUCCAUCCACUCCACCUUCACAACCACAACCUCGAACACCAUCUCCGCAGCUAAGCACAACCUCAUCUGAGCAACUGACACCAGUCAUCUCAGCUGAAGUGCAAGAACAAAAGGAGUCUACUAAGCCUGCUUCUUCUGCAACCAAAGUUGAAACCACUGACUGGAUAGCUUCCACACUAACAAGGCGUUUUGGACUUGGUGCUGGCCUUGCUUGGGCUGCCUUUCUUGCAGUUGGUGUGGUCUCUGAACAGGUUAAGACCCGCCUUGAAGUCUCGCAACAAGAAGCAAAUACAAGAGAUGUUGAGAAGCAAGAAGAGGUACUAUUGCCUAAUGGCAUAAGGUACUUUGAGUUGAGAGUUGGUGGUGGAGCUUCUCCAAGGCCAGGGGAUUUAGUGGUGAUAGAUCUCAAGGGAAAAGUUGAAGAGAGUGGACAAGUGUUUGUUGAUACAUUUGGUGGAGACAAGAAGCCAUUGGCUUUAGUAAUGGGUUCAAGGCCUUAUAGUAAAGGAAUGUGUGAAGGGAUAGAAUAUGUUCUGAGAUCUAUGAAAGCAGGAGGGAAAAGAAAAGUUAUAGUUCCUGCUAGUUUAGGGUUUGGAGAGAAUGGUGCAGAUUUGGGUCCUGGUCUGCAAAUUCCACCAUUUGCCACUCUUGAGUAUAUUGUUGAGGUUGAGAAAGUUUCCAUUGCACCAGCUUGAUUUUUUUUUUAUUAUCAUUUAAAGAAUAUAAUUAGUGUCUGUUUAAACAUUAUAUACUCUUUUUUUUUUAUAAAGAAAGUCAUUGACCUGAAAAAAA